GUCCACGCCGUAAACUAUGGAUGCUAGCCGUCGGAUAGCUUGCUAUUCGGUGGCGCAGCUAACGCAUUAAGCAUCCCGCCUGGGGAGUACGGCCGCAAGGUUAAAACUCAAAGGAAUUGACGGGGGCCCCGCACAAGCGGUGGAGCAUGUGGUUUAAUUCGACGCAACGCGAAGAACCUUACCAGCCCUUGACAUGCCCGGACGGUCUCCAGAGAUGGAUUCCUCCUAGCAAUAGGUCGGGACACAGGUGCUGCAUGGCUGUCGU
This 265-nucleotide ribosomal RNA is filed under the name uncultured bacterium. RNAcentral's name for it is "partial 16S ribosomal RNA". It matches the Rfam family "Bacterial small subunit ribosomal RNA", at positions 793 to 1055 of the family's 1533-position model. The record is from RNAcentral.